Molecule: ribosomal RNA, 465 nt
Filed under: Vreelandella stevensii
Lineage: Bacteria; Pseudomonadati; Pseudomonadota; Gammaproteobacteria; Oceanospirillales; Halomonadaceae
Description: partial 16S ribosomal RNA
Rfam family: Bacterial small subunit ribosomal RNA
Source: RNAcentral
CCUACGGGCGGCAGCAGUGGGGAAUAUUGGACAAUGGGGGCAACCCUGAUCUAGCCAUGCCGCGUGUGUGAAGAAGGCCCUCGGGUUGUAAAGCACUUUCAGUGAGGAAGAACGCCUGGUGGUUAAUACCCAUCAGGAAAGACAUCACUCACAGAAGAAGCACCGGCUAACUCCGUGCCAGCAGCCGCGGUAAUACGGAGGGUGCGAGCGUUAAUCGGAAUUACUGGGCGUAAAGCGCGCGUAGGUGGCUUGAUAAGCCGGUUGUGAAAGCCCCGGGCUCAACCUGGGAACGGCAUCCGGAACUGUCAAGCUAGAGUGCAGGAGAGGAAGGUAGAAUUCCCGGUGUAGCGGUGAAAUGCGUAGAGAUCGGGAGGAAUACCAGUGGCGAAGGCGGCCUUCUGGACUGACACUGACACUGAGGUGCGAAAGCGUGGGUAGCAAACAGGAUUAGAUACCCUAGUAGUC